UCCCGGCGAAAGAUUUCUUUGUGGAAAUUUGUCUUUGGUGAAGCUUUCUCCUGCAAAUGUAGGCUCCUCUGGUCUGUUUAGUUGCAGAUGUGGAAGACUUUCUGCAGCAGUAUCUGCUAGAGCCUUCCAUGUACCAAAUUGCCUCCUCACCUGCCACACACACUCAGAAGGAAAGUUUUAUCUGAAGCAUAAAUCCGAGCUGGUCCUUUGAAGAAAACAUCAAACUUUUUCAACACUGGAACAAAAAAACAGAGUUACUUCAUCAAAGGCAGCAGUCUACCUAGACGUGAGAUCAUUAAUGGGAGGAGUGUAUUAUCAUAAGACUGCAGUCCCAUGGAGGAACAUGUUUAGGAGAAGAA
Molecule: long non-coding RNA, 359 nt
Organism: Lagopus muta (rock ptarmigan)
Lineage: Eukaryota; Metazoa; Chordata; Aves; Galliformes; Phasianidae
Exons: 3
Source: RefSeq, a predicted model, not a curated record